This is a long non-coding RNA of Medicago truncatula (barrel medic), 566 nucleotides long. RefSeq lists it as uncharacterized. NCBI's taxonomy places the organism in Eukaryota, Viridiplantae, Streptophyta, Magnoliopsida, Fabales, Fabaceae. The transcript is spliced from 2 exons. The record is from RefSeq and is a predicted model, not a curated record.
GUUUAAUAAUUGUGCUAAAGGAAAAACACAACAAUUUGAUGUACUUAAUAGACAUUUUCUUAUAACUCCAUAAACAUUAAAAUUUAUUUAAUGCAGAAGAUAAGCUUCCUAAACUAUAAAGUGAUAAAAUCAUAUUCUAUUUCUUACAUGCACUUUGGAGAAAAUAUGGCUAAAAUUGUCAAGUUUUUUUUUUCCUGAUUAUCUUUAUUUCUGUAUUUCUUGUUGCAAUGAAUCGCCGAGAGACCAUGAAUGUGAACAAGAUUUUGAUUGUCCGAAAUCUACAUGUCUGUUUUAUUGGAAACCGACAUGUGUAAAGCCAUAUUUUCUUAUGAUCAAUCAACAUAGACAUAACUAUUGUGCAUGUACGUGAGCGAUGUGCCCCCUAAGAUUCUGCUACAAAAUUCAAUGAGUUUUCAUUUAGUUAUUGUGUUGGCAUGCAAUAACAAUAAUAUGAAUUUUGUAUUUUUAUAUUUUCACAGACCAUGUAAUUAUGGAUUUGUACUCUGAGAUAAGAGUAAUGAAACGAAAUAACGAAUAAAAUAAUAUUAAUUAGAUUUUCUUUUUCG